AACGAACGCUGGCGGCAGGCUUAACACAUGCAAGUCGAACGCCCCGCAAGGGGAGUGGCAGACGGGUGAGUAACACGUGGGAACGUGCCCUAAGGUUUGGAAUAUUCCCGGGAAACUGGGAGCAAUACCAAAUGUGUCCGUAAGGAGAAAGAUUUAUAGCCUUAGGAUCGGCCCGCGUCAGAUUAGGUAGUUGGUGGGGGAAUGGCCUACCAAGCCGACGAUCUGUAGCUGGUCUGAGAGGGCGACCAGCCACACUGGGACUGAGACACGGCCCAGCCUCCUACGGGAGGCAGCAGUGGGGAAUCUUGGACAAUGGGCGCAAGCCUGAUCCAGCCAUGCCGCGUGGAUGAUGAAGGCCCUAGGGUUGUAAAAUCCUUUCGUUGGGGACGAUAAUGACGGUACCCAAAGAAGAAGCUCCGGCUAACUUCGUGCCAGCCGCCGCGGUAA
Molecule: ribosomal RNA, 447 nt
Filed under: uncultured bacterium
Lineage: Bacteria
Description: partial 16S ribosomal RNA
Rfam family: Bacterial small subunit ribosomal RNA
Source: RNAcentral